CCUACGGGUGGCAGCAGUGGGGAAUAUUGGACAAUGGGCGAAAGCCUGAUCCAGCCAUGCCGCGUGUGUGAAGAAGGCCUUCGGGUUGUAAAGCACUUUCAGUGGGGAAGAAAGCCUUGGGGCUAAUACCCUCGAGGAAGGACAUCACCCACAGAAGAAGCACCGGCUAACUCCGUGCCAGCAGCCGCGGUAAUACGGAGGGUGCGAGCGUUAAUCGGAAUUACUGGGCGUAAAGCGCGCGUAGGCGGUCUGAUAAGCCGGUUGUGAAAGCCCCGGGCUCAACCUGGGAACGGCAUCCGGAACUGUCAGGCUAGAGUGCAGGAGAGGAAGGUAGAAUUCCCGGGGUAGCGGGGAAAUGCGUAGAGAUCGGGAGGAAUACCAGUGGCGAAGGCGGCCUUCUGGACUGACACUGACGCUGAGGUGCGUAAGCGUGGGUAGCAAACAGGAUUAGAUACCCCAGUAGUC
RNAcentral lists this ribosomal RNA (465 nucleotides) under Vreelandella stevensii. RNAcentral describes it as "partial 16S ribosomal RNA". It matches the Rfam family "Bacterial small subunit ribosomal RNA", at positions 338 to 795 of the family's 1533-position model. Lineage: Bacteria; Pseudomonadati; Pseudomonadota; Gammaproteobacteria; Oceanospirillales; Halomonadaceae. The record is from RNAcentral.